GUUUUUCACCAGGGGUGCUUUGUCCUGACAAAGCUGAGACUUAACCCUUAUAACCUGCUCUGGAUAAUGCCUGCGGAGGGAGUGUGAAGAUGAAGCCCU
RNAcentral lists this non-coding RNA (99 nucleotides) under Legionella rubrilucens. RNAcentral describes it as "TPP sequence". It matches the Rfam family "TPP riboswitch aptamer (THI element)". Rfam says of the family: Vitamin B(1) in its active form thiamin pyrophosphate (TPP) is an essential coenzyme that is synthesised by coupling of pyrimidine and thiazole moieties in bacteria. The record is from Rfam by way of RNAcentral. Lineage: Bacteria; Pseudomonadati; Pseudomonadota; Gammaproteobacteria; Legionellales; Legionellaceae.